RNAcentral lists this ribosomal RNA (1489 nucleotides) under Enterococcus faecium EnGen0262. RNAcentral describes it as "bacterial SSU rRNA". It matches the Rfam family "Bacterial small subunit ribosomal RNA". Lineage: Bacteria; Bacillati; Bacillota; Bacilli; Lactobacillales; Enterococcaceae. The record is from RNAcentral.
AGAGUUUGAUCCUGGCUCAGGACGAACGCUGGCGGCGUGCCUAAUACAUGCAAGUCGAACGCUUCUUUUUCCACCGGAGCUUGCUCCACCGGAAAAAGAGGAGUGGCGAACGGGUGAGUAACACGUGGGUAACCUGCCCAUCAGAAGGGGAUAACACUUGGAAACAGGUGCUAAUACCGUAUAACAAUCGAAACCGCAUGGUUUUGAUUUGAAAGGCGCUUUCGGGUGUCGCUGAUGGAUGGACCCGCGGUGCAUUAGCUAGUUGGUGAGGUAACGGCUCACCAAGGCCACGAUGCAUAGCCGACCUGAGAGGGUGAUCGGCCACAUUGGGACUGAGACACGGCCCAAACUCCUACGGGAGGCAGCAGUAGGGAAUCUUCGGCAAUGGACGAAAGUCUGACCGAGCAACGCCGCGUGAGUGAAGAAGGUUUUCGGAUCGUAAAACUCUGUUGUUAGAGAAGAACAAGGAUGAGAGUAACUGUUCAUCCCUUGACGGUAUCUAACCAGAAAGCCACGGCUAACUACGUGCCAGCAGCCGCGGUAAUACGUAGGUGGCAAGCGUUGUCCGGAUUUAUUGGGCGUAAAGCGAGCGCAGGCGGUUUCUUAAGUCUGAUGUGAAAGCCCCCGGCUCAACCGGGGAGGGUCAUUGGAAACUGGGAGACUUGAGUGCAGAAGAGGAGAGUGGAAUUCCAUGUGUAGCGGUGAAAUGCGUAGAUAUAUGGAGGAACACCAGUGGCGAAGGCGGCUCUCUGGUCUGUAACUGACGCUGAGGCUCGAAAGCGUGGGGAGCAAACAGGAUUAGAUACCCUGGUAGUCCACGCCGUAAACGAUGAGUGCUAAGUGUUGGAGGGUUUCCGCCCUUCAGUGCUGCAGCUAACGCAUUAAGCACUCCGCCUGGGGAGUACGACCGCAAGGUUGAAACUCAAAGGAAUUGACGGGGGCCCGCACAAGCGGUGGAGCAUGUGGUUUAAUUCGAAGCAACGCGAAGAACCUUACCAGGUCUUGACAUCCUUUGACCACUCUAGAGAUAGAGCUUCCCCUUCGGGGGCAAAGUGACAGGUGGUGCAUGGUUGUCGUCAGCUCGUGUCGUGAGAUGUUGGGUUAAGUCCCGCAACGAGCGCAACCCUUAUUGUUAGUUGCCAUCAUUCAGUUGGGCACUCUAGCAAGACUGCCGGUGACAAACCGGAGGAAGGUGGGGAUGACGUCAAAUCAUCAUGCCCCUUAUGACCUGGGCUACACACGUGCUACAAUGGGAAGUACAACGAGUCGCGAAGUCGCGAGGCUAAGCUAAUCUCUUAAAGCUUCUCUCAGUUCGGAUUGCAGGCUGCAACUCGCCUGCAUGAAGCCGGAAUCGCUAGUAAUCGCGGAUCAGCACGCCGCGGUGAAUACGUUCCCGGGCCUUGUACACACCGCCCGUCACACCACGAGAGUUUGUAACACCCGAAGUCGGUGAGGUAACCUUUUGGAGCCAGCCGCCUAAGGUGGGAUA